Molecule: long non-coding RNA, 224 nt
Filed under: Bos taurus (domestic cattle)
Lineage: Eukaryota; Metazoa; Chordata; Mammalia; Artiodactyla; Bovidae
Description: long non-coding RNA NONBTAT011231
Source: RNAcentral
CUACUAGUGUCUGCCUGUAUGGUUCUGCAAGUAGAAUAUAAUAAGCCAUUUUUAAUUACAAAAUAACAAUAUGUACACAUACUGGUGUGUAUGUGUUACAUAGGGUAAUGAACCCCAGAAGAUAUUUGAAGACAUGCACAAAAUGCUUAUACUAGUAUCUGUGAAACUGGAAUUAGAGGUUUCUUUGUUUUGGCCCAUUUUCUUCAUUGAACAUUAUUACUUUU